Molecule: non-coding RNA, 1695 nt
Organism: Meleagris gallopavo (turkey)
Lineage: Eukaryota; Metazoa; Chordata; Aves; Galliformes; Phasianidae
Source: RefSeq, a predicted model, not a curated record
UUUGUAUAUGUACUGUUAUAACAGAUUUUAAGUUAAUUUAAAGCUUAUGUCUGAAUAAUAAAUCUAGCACUGAUAAUAGUCCUGCAUUAAGCUGGAGGUAGGACUAUAUCCUUUCUGACCAGCUUUUUUGAUUCUGUGAAAUUUUUAACAGAAUGAGUAAUUAGCUAUUAUUUUUACAGGACGUUGAGAUAUAUUUACGGAUGUUUGCAGAAGUCUGUUCAAAGCAAGUGGCCAUCUAAUACCAAUAUGAGAACAAGAGUUGUUAGUGGCUUUGUUUUUCUUCGACUGAUUUGUCCUGCUAUACUGAAUCCAAGGAUGUUUAAUAUCAUCUCAGAUUCCCCUUCCCCUACUGCUGCAAGAACGCUGACGCUGGUUGCCAAGUCUGUGCAGAAUUUAGCAAAUCUGGUUGAAUUUGGAGCUAAGGUGAAUAUAAUUUUACAUAGAACAGCCUAGAACUGCAUUUUCAAUACAUUUCAAUGUUCCUGUUUAAUACAUGCAAAAAUCUGUUGCUGUUUUCUUGUACAAAGCCUGAUGUGUGACCUGAGUGUCUUCAUCAGCAAGGAGGCCUUGUUCCUGCAGUUUGUCCUAUCCUCUUCAGUUGGAGCUACACAGGAAGUUAAUUUAGAGCAGUAGCAUAAAGUCUGUCUGUACAGGGAGUAAUCUAGGAACUUGUGUGAAUGAUUUAGUGCAUACCAUGAAGAUUUUGAAUCUGGUAGUAUGAACAACAGAAAUAGUCUGUUAAAAUAACUGAUGAAUUAAUGACCAUACUAGUAGAUAUUUGUAGAGUGUGAUGCAACCAUAUCUUCAUGCUAUGAGAACAGAUAAACUCAGACAUUUGUUUCAAAGACAGUAUCCAAAAUGAGAAAAUAGUAGACGUAGUCUUACUCUAGUAGACUGCAGGGGAAGCACGUGCUUUUCACCGCGGCAAACCGAGAGAGAGAACGGGAGGACAGGCCAGUAUCCUGACAGGAACCUCCACCUCUCUUCCUCUGCCGCCAUGUCCUCCGGGAAUGCCACUCCGCUCCUCCUCUCCCAACCAAAUACCCGAAAUGCCCGUAAAAGGAAGUCCACGGAACCAGAAUAUUAACUCUUUAACUCCCAUUGUUUUUUCAUGAUGUUCUGAUGUGGAAUACUGGCAACAAAAAUCACAGUACCACAAAACAUCCGUGUGAUGCUAUUUUUGUUUUAAGAUAAAAACAGUCACUAUGAAGAAAAACAACAUUCUCCCAGCUGAAACUAAGAUGAGGUGGUAAUUAAUGAGGAUGUAUUGGAUAGUGUGUGACCUGAGCAUGACACAAAUGUAUGGAAUAAAGGGUGGAGGUUGUGCUGGCUCUGGCUGGGAUGAAGUUAAUUGUCUUUCUAGCAGCCAAUAUGGUGCUGUGUUUUAGAUUUAUGUUGAUAACUCACUGGCAUCUUGGCUCAACAGUGCUUGCUCUCUUUCCUCUUUCCCUUCUGUCCCUGUCCUCCUUUCCCAAGCAAGUAGACUGGAGGUAUGCAAGAAGUUGGAAACAACCACAACAGCUGACCCAAACUGACUAAAGGAGUAUUCCAUACCAUAUGACAUCAUGGUCAGCACUAAAAAUUCAUGGAGAAAGAGAAAGAAGCAGGAUUUUCUGUGCUUUUGGCAUUUCUCUUCCCAAGUAACUGUUAUGUGUGCUGAGGUCCUGCUUUACGGGAUGUAGCUGGACAUCUGCC